CGCUAUUUACAACCUCCGUUCAUUCACAUACGAUGGGAACAUCAGAUUGAUGUUGAUGAAGUAUGGCGUGGCCCGAGAGAACGUUUACACUUAUGCGGAGCUGUAUGUGCUGUUGCUGCUCAUCGCUUUACCAUUCGGGCCUUGUAUUGGCGCUGUACUAGAUUGGCGUAGGAAAUCGACAGCAUCAAAUGAUCCGCCGAUACAGCAGAUGCAAAAUAUUCUGUUUGCGUUGGUGCUGACGUUUCUCUUUGCCCUGGCUAACAACAUACUGCCGAC
This is a long non-coding RNA of Ylistrum balloti, 276 nucleotides long. RefSeq lists it as uncharacterized. Lineage: Eukaryota; Metazoa; Mollusca; Bivalvia; Pectinida; Pectinidae. The record is from RefSeq and is a predicted model, not a curated record. The transcript has 3 exons.